This 250-nucleotide ribosomal RNA is filed under the name uncultured bacterium. Its description in RNAcentral is "partial 16S ribosomal RNA". It matches the Rfam family "Bacterial small subunit ribosomal RNA", at positions 355 to 620 of the family's 1533-position model. The record is from RNAcentral.
UUGGGAAUCUUGCACAAUGGGGGAAACCCUGAUGCAGCGACGCCGCGUGGAGGAUGACGGAUUUAGGUCUGUAAACUCCUUUUGCAGGGAAAGACUUAGGACGGUACCCUGAGAAUAAGGACCGGCUAACUACGUGCCAGCAGCCGCGGUAAGACGUAGGGUCCAAGCGUUGUCCGGAUUUACUGGGCGUAAAGAGCACGUAGGCGGUCCGUUAAGUGUGAAGUGAAAUCUCCAGAGCUCAACUCGGAAA